UGGGGAAUUUUGCGCAAUGGGCGGAAAGCCUGACGCAGCAACGCCGCGUGCGGGACGAAGGCCUUCGGGUUGUAAACCGCUUUCAGCAGGGAAGAUGAUGACGGUACCUGCAGAAGAAGCCCCGGCUAAAUACGUGCCAGCAGCCGCGGGAAUACGUAUGGGGCGAGCGUUAUCCGGAUUCAUUGGGCGUAAAGCGCGCGUAGGCGGCCUUGCAAGCGGGACCUCCAACCCCGGGGCUCAACCCCGGGCCGGGUCCCGAACUGCAGGGCUCGAGUUCGGUAGGGGGAGGCGGAAUUCCCGGUGUAGCGGUGAAAUGCGCAGAUAUCGGGAAGAACACCGAUGGCGAAGGCAGCCUCCUGGGCCGGCACUGACGCUGAGGCGCGAAAGCCGGGGGAGCGAACAGG
RNAcentral lists this ribosomal RNA (404 nucleotides) under uncultured prokaryote. RNAcentral's name for it is "bacterial SSU rRNA". It matches the Rfam family "Bacterial small subunit ribosomal RNA", at positions 355 to 776 of the family's 1533-position model. The record is from RNAcentral. RNAcentral also lists the same sequence under 1 other name.